CCCUUAGAUGUUCUGGGCAGCACGCGCGCUACAAUGGUCUUCGCAAACGGAUGCAUUCUCGAAGGAGAAUGCCAAUCUUGGAAUCUAUGCCUUGGUCGGGACAGUUGCUUGCAAUUUUUCGACUCGAACCAGGAAUUCCUUGUAAUCGUGAUUCAUCACAUCACGAUGAAUACGUCCCUGCCCUUUGUACACACCGCCCGUCGCUCCUACCGAUCGAAGAGUUAGGUGAAUUGUUUUGAUCGAUAAGAUUUGACUAUGGUCAACUCUCGUUGUGAAAUUCUGUGAAUCUGACUGUUUAGAGGAAGGAAAAGUCGUAACU
Molecule: ribosomal RNA, 319 nt
Filed under: uncultured eukaryote
Lineage: Eukaryota
Description: partial 18S ribosomal RNA
Rfam family: Eukaryotic small subunit ribosomal RNA
Source: RNAcentral